This 842-nucleotide ribosomal RNA is filed under the name Ramularia vizellae. RNAcentral describes it as "eukaryotic LSU rRNA". It matches the Rfam family "Eukaryotic large subunit ribosomal RNA", at positions 54 to 927 of the family's 3401-position model. The record is from RNAcentral. Lineage: Eukaryota; Fungi; Ascomycota; Dothideomycetes; Mycosphaerellales; Mycosphaerellaceae.
AGGAAAAGAAACCAACAGGGAUUGCCCUAGUAACGGCGAGUGAAGCGGCAACAGCUCAAAUUUGAAAUCUGGCGCAAGCCCGAGUUGUAAUUUGUAGAGGAUGCUUCUAGGUAGCGACCGGUCUAAGUUCCUUGGAACAGGACGUCAUAGAGGGUGAGAAUCCCGUAUGUGACUGGCCCGCACCUUCUACGUAGCUCCUUCGACGAGUCGAGUUGUUUGGGAAUGCAGCUCUAAAUGGGAGGUAAAUUUCUUCUAAAGCUAAAUACCGGCCAGAGACCGAUAGCGCACAAGUAGAGUGAUCGAAAGAUGAAAAGCACUUUGGAAAGAGAGUUAAAAAGCACGUGAAAUUGUUGAAAGGGAAGCGCUCACAACCAGACUUCUAGGCAGUGUUCCGCCGGUCUUUUGACCGGUCUACUCUCUGUCUCGAGGCCAACAUCAUCUGGGACCGCUGGAUAAGACCUUAGGAAUGUAGCUCCCCUCGGGGAGUGUUAUAGCCUCUGGUGAUGCAGCGAGUCUCGGGUGAGGUCCGCGCUUCGGCAAGGAUGUUGGCGUAAUGGUUGUCAGCGGCCCGUCUUGAAACACGGACCAAGGAGUCUAACAUCUAUGCGAGUGUUCGGGUGUCAAACCCCUACGCGUAAUGAAAGUGAACGGAGGUGGGAAGCGUAAGCUGCACCAUCGACCGAUCCUGAUGUCCUCGGAUGGAUUUGAGUAAGAGCAUAGCUGUUGGGACCCGAAAGAUGGUGAACUAUGCCUGAAUAGGGUGAAGCCAGAGGAAACUCUGGUGGAGGCUCGCAGCGGUUCUGACGUGCAAAUCGAUCGUCAAAUUUGGGUAUAGGGGCGAA